GUUUCUUUAGUAUUAACUAGUACAAUUGACUUCCAAUCAAUUAGUUUCGGUAUAUUCCGAAAAGAAACA
This 69-nucleotide transfer RNA is filed under the name Helogale parvula (dwarf mongoose). RNAcentral's name for it is "tRNA-Gly". It matches the Rfam family "tRNA". Rfam says of the family: Transfer RNA (tRNA) molecules are approximately 80 nucleotides in length. Their secondary structure includes four short double-helical elements and three loops (D, anti-codon, and T loops). Further hydrogen bonds mediate the characteristic L-shaped molecular structure. tRNAs have two regions of fundamental functional importance: the anti-codon, which is responsible for specific mRNA codon recognition, and the 3' end, to which the tRNAs corresponding amino acid is attached (by aminoacyl-tRNA synthetases). tRNAs cope with the degeneracy of the genetic code in two manners: having more than one tRNA (with a specific anti-codon) for a particular amino acid; and 'wobble' base-pairing, i.e. permitting non-standard base-pairing at the 3rd anti-codon position. The record is from RNAcentral. Lineage: Eukaryota; Metazoa; Chordata; Mammalia; Carnivora; Herpestidae.